Long non-coding RNA from Dermacentor silvarum, 1307 nucleotides. RefSeq lists it as uncharacterized. The record is from RefSeq and is a predicted model, not a curated record. NCBI's taxonomy places the organism in Eukaryota, Metazoa, Arthropoda, Arachnida, Ixodida, Ixodidae. The transcript has 3 exons.
CGUACGGCUGCACAAAUCGAGCGAAAAAGGACUCUGGGAUUACGUUUCACGUGUUUCCUAAGGACCCAAAUGUGAGAAGCACGUGGGAGUGGACUGUUUGGCGGAAAGGCUGGAAGCCAAAAGACGGCGAUCACAUAUGCUCGAGGCACUUCACGCCGGGUUGUUUCAACCGGACCGGGCAGACAGACGAUACGGCUGCGACCGGGAAGUUGUCCGACCGCGUUUGACGUAUUUCCAAACCACCUGCAAAAGCCGCUGAAAAGAAAGCGACCACCACUGAGGCCCCGGAGUACUCCAGCUGACAAAGGUAUUGAAGUUGACAAAGUUGUUAAAGAUGUGGCAGUUGCAUCACCUACAAAGCAGCAUUACAAAGAAAUGUUUCAUGUUUCUUGCAAGAGGAGAUAGCACUGUUCAAGAAGAUCUAAAUUCUGCAGCAGAGCAAGCGUAGAUUGACCAAAUAGAACGAGACUGCUCAAGAGAUAAUAAGGGAUAUCAAGGACCAAAAGCUCAUGUCGGAGGAGGCCAUGGAGGUGUUCACUACAGCCUUUUCCCCUAAUAUACAGCAACUCCUCAACAGAGCAGGAAAAACCAGAAAGGCACGUACCCAUCUGAGAAGCGUGCAUUUGGGUUACCGCUGCACUUCUAUUCUCCGUCAGCUUAUGAGUAUGUACGCUCGAAGUUUAAUGGAGCACUGCCAGCAAAGUACACUAUACGAGAAUGGUACAGUUCCAUCAACGGGGAUCCUGGCUUCACAGCUGAGUCACUGUCCUUAAAAAAGCUUGUCCAAUGCCGCACGGAGACUCCGUAUGCUGUACUUUCAUUGUCGGUGACGUGUCAAUCAGAAAACAUGUUGAGCUGUGGGCGACAGAGUGGGACUGGAAUGCAUGAUGACAGUCUGCCUGAAGCCAAGAAUGUAUGUGUGUAUAUCGUCGUUGGCUUGAACUUGCGACUUAAGUUGCCAGUUGGGUAAUUUUUAUUGAUUCAUUGACAGAAGCAGAGAGCGCCGAGUUAACGAAACAGUGUAUUGAAAAGGUAACGGUAAUAGGUGUUGAGGUUGUUUCACUUACAUUUGAUGGCGCUGCAAAUAAACAUCACCAUGGCGAAGGGACCGAACUCUACAUAAGCAUCAGACUCCAUGACAUGACGAAAGAAAUACGCAGGGAAAUGAGUGCCGAAAAAGUGAGGUAUGCUCUUACGAGGCUGAUUAUCUUUAAAGACCUUCAACGGUGACUCUUCAACGCAGACUCUUCAACGGUGUUCAUGCUUGCAAGGAGAAUGCCAAUAGAAACAAAAUAAAGUUGAUUGCA